This 1192-nucleotide ribosomal RNA is filed under the name Suchocyathocotyle crocodili. RNAcentral describes it as "partial large subunit ribosomal RNA". It matches the Rfam family "Eukaryotic large subunit ribosomal RNA", at positions 107 to 891 of the family's 3401-position model. The record is from RNAcentral. Lineage: Eukaryota; Metazoa; Platyhelminthes; Trematoda; Diplostomida; Cyathocotylidae.
GCCCAGCACCGAAGCCUGUGGACAUUUGGCCACUAGGCAAUGUGGUGUUCAGGUUGAUUCGUGGCAUCACUGCUCCACCCUAAGUCCAGCACUGAGUAUGGUUUCUGGAAUUGGCCCACAGAGGGUGAAAGGCCCGUUGGGGUGGAGAUCAGGUUAACAGUUUUGCCCUGAGUCGACCUUGGAGUCGGGUUGUUUGUGAAUGCAGCCCAAAGUGGGUGGUAAACUCCAUCCAAGGCUAAAUACUGGCACGAGUCCGAUAGCGAACAAGUACCGUGAGGGAAAGUUGAAAAGUACUUUGAAGAGAGAGUAAACAGUGCGUGAAACCGCUCAGAGGUAAACAGGUGGAGUUGAACUGGAAGCUAUGGGAAUUCAGCUGGUGAGCUUGAUAUGAGCUUGGUCAUGCUGGUCGGCCAAUAGAGUCCGCUUAGCUGCGGGUUCCUACUCGUCAGGGUAGGGAUGUGCGUCGUACUUGUCAAGUAUUGUACGCUCUGUUGGUUUGACGGACCGGCUUGCUAGUGCACUUUCCCAUGGUGAUCACCACGACCGGCGCUGUUGCUUUUCUGUUGUGGUCGAACCGAUUAGGUCUGGUCCUUGUGGCUGAACUUGAUCGGGAUGGCAGGUAGCUCGUUAGUUGGUAUCACCGAUUAAUGGGUGUAAUGAGCUGACCAUAAUGGUUUUGUGCAAUGCGUCGGAGAUGGCGGCUUUAUGCAUUUGCGCGCGUGUUCUUAGUUGGCAGAGCCGGAUUUGAUUGACAUGUUUACCCGCAAACGCGAGUCUGUUGAUAGCCCGGUCCUGUUCAAUUUGGGAUUGCGUGUGUGAUGCUGUUAAUGGGCCCACAGUCUGUGGUGUUGUGGUAAACUAUCCACCUGACCCGUCUUGAAACACGGACCAAGGAGUUUAACAUGUGCGCGAGUCAUUGGGCAUUACGAAACCCAAAGGCGCAGUGAAAGUAAAGGCUCGGCUUGUCCGAGCUGAGGUGAGAUCCGGUCGUUCCUCGUGCAAGGUACUACCAAGCAUUCGGACGGCAGGCGCAUCACCGGCCCGUCUCACGGCGUAGCCAUGUGACCUUGUGUUGCGUGCACCACCGGGGCGGAGCAAGAGCGCACACGUUGAGACCCGAAAGAUGGUGAACUAUGCUUGCGGAGGUUGAAGCCAGAGGAAACUCUGGUGGAGGACCGUAGCGAUUCUGACG